AAAAAAAGCUUUCGAGCACUCCAACUGUUGUGUUGGCUUUGCUUUUCUAGCGCUUUGCUUCACAUACAUUACACAUCAUUUCACGUGACGUUAAAAACUAUUAAAUACAGUAUGCGUAUGCAUGCCCACGUUAAGCAGAAUAUACACAUACAACUGCCUUUGGUGGGAGUGACAUUUCCUUUUUUGAGACUCAUCUGCCACUUCCUUUUUUAAGCUGCCUGCGUGUGAAAGAGAAGUAGAUGCAAGUCUUUUGUUUGGCUCAUGGUGGAAACUGACACACCCAUCCUGUUGCACUUUUCUGCUCAGAAAAGUGAAGCUUAUUUUAAUUUUAAAAAAUGUACACCAAAUGUCAAGCCCAUGUUGUUCUCAGUUGGUCCUUUCCCUAAAAGUGACUGCAGUUAAUUUUCAAUUUGAGUGGGAAAGGACGGGGGGCACGUUUUAUUUACAAAUUUAUUUAAUGUAAGCUUAUUCAUGUAUUUGUUUAUUCAAUUGUUGGCUAAAAGCUUCACGUGACUGAAGGUUAAGAAGUCUUUGUUGUGAUAUGUAAAUCUUCUCUUCACAAUGCUUUAAUCAACGGAGUUGUUUAGACUGGUCAAAGUUUAUGGAAAGAAUGUGCUAAAGCUUUCAGAUGUGUUGUUUGUUUUUCCACCGCUUUAAAUAUGCGGGACAGUAAUUGCGCGAGGCAAAAUAAAAGAUGGCCCAAGGGAGGAUGAUGUACAAAAAAACAUCAAAUAAUGCAAUCACAAAUACCCAAACAAAUUCUUCCUCUCCGAUCAAAAUAAACCAUAGCGCCCUUCACACUGGCACUUCAGAAUGUCAGGAAUGCAACAUAUCUUGUAGAGCUUUGUCAGUUAUUUACAUUUAAGUAUGCAACAGUAUUCAUUUUUAAAAAAAACGGUCAUUUGUG
Molecule: long non-coding RNA, 907 nt
Organism: Hippocampus comes (tiger tail seahorse)
Lineage: Eukaryota; Metazoa; Chordata; Actinopteri; Syngnathiformes; Syngnathidae
Exons: 2
Source: RefSeq, a predicted model, not a curated record